GCAGUCGAACGAGUUCUGAUUAUUGAAAGAGUGCUUGCAUCUUGAUUUAAUUUUGAACGAGUGGCGGACGGGUGAGUAACACGUGGGUAACCUGCCCUUAAGUGGGGGAUAACAUUUGGAAACAGAUGCUAAUACCGCAUAAAUCCAAGAACCGCAUGGUUCUUGGCUGAAAGAUGGCGUAAGCUAUCGCUUUUGGAUGGACCCGCGGCGUAUUAGCUAGUUGGUGAGGUAACGGCUCACCAAGGCAAUGAUACGUAGCCGAACUGAGAGGUUGAUCGGCCACAUUGGGACUGAGACACGGCCCAAACUCCUACGGGAGGCAGCAGUAGGGAAUCUUCCACAAUGGACGCAAGUCUGAUGGAGCAACGCCGCGUGAGUGAAGAAGGCUUUCGGGUCGUAAAACUCUGUUGUUGGAGAAGAAUGGUCGGCAGAGUAACUGUUGUCGGCGUGACGGUAUCCAACCAGAAAGCCACGGCUAACUACGUGCCAGCAGCCGCGGUAAUACGUAGGUGGCAAGCGUUAUCCGGAUUUAUUGGGCGUAAAGCGAGCGCAGGCGGUUUUUUAAGUCUGAUGUGAAAGCCCUCGGCUUAACCGAGGAAGUGCAUCGGAAACUGGGAAACUUGAGUGCAGAAGAGGACAGUGGAACUCCAUGUGUAGCGGUGAAAUGCGUAGAUAUAUGGAAGAACACCAGUGGCGAAGGCGGCUGUCUGGUCUGUAACUGACGCUGAGGCUCGAAAGCAUGGGUAGCGAACAGGAUUAGAUACCCUGGUAGUCCAUGCCGUAAACGAUGAAUGCUAGGUGUUGGAGGGUUUCCGCCCUUCAGUGCCGCAGCUAACGCAUUAAGCAUUCCGCCUGGGGAGUACGACCGCAAGGUUGAAACUCAAAGGAAUUGACGGGGGCCCGCACAAGCGGUGGAGCAUGUGGUUUAAUUCGAAGCAACGCGAAGAACCUUACCAGGUCUUGACAUCUUUUGAUCACCUGAGAGAUCAGGUUUCCCCUUCGGGGGCAAAAUGACAGGUGGUGCAUGGUUGUCGUCAGCUCGUGUCGUGAGAUGUUGGGUUAAGUCCCGCAACGAGCGCAACCCUUAUGACUAGUUGCCAGCAUUUAGUUGGGCACUCUAGUAAGACUGCCGGUGACAAACCGGAGGAAGGUGGGGAUGACGUCAAAUCAUCAUGCCCCUUAUGACCUGGGCUACACACGUGCUACAAUGGAUGGUACAACGAGUUGCGAGACCGCGAGGUCAAGCUAAUCUCUUAAAGCCAUUCUCAGUUCGGACUGUAGGCUGCAACUCGCCUACACGAAGUCGGAAUCGCUAGUAAUCGCGGAUCAGCACGCCGCGGUGAAUACGUUCCCGGGCCUUGUACACACCGCCCGUCACACCAUGAGAGUUUGUAACACCCGAAGCCGGUGGCGUAACCCUUUUAGGGAGCGAG
RNAcentral lists this ribosomal RNA (1433 nucleotides) under Lacticaseibacillus rhamnosus. Its description in RNAcentral is "bacterial SSU rRNA". It matches the Rfam family "Bacterial small subunit ribosomal RNA". The record is from RNAcentral. Lineage: Bacteria; Bacillati; Bacillota; Bacilli; Lactobacillales; Lactobacillaceae.